This 1549-nucleotide long non-coding RNA is filed under the name Vigna radiata. RNAcentral's name for it is "long non-coding RNA (VRAD_LNC017947)". The record is from RNAcentral. Lineage: Eukaryota; Viridiplantae; Streptophyta; Magnoliopsida; Fabales; Fabaceae.
CUGCAAAUCUCAUUUGAACACCUUUCUUGUGUUGACCUCUACCAUUGCAUUUCUUUAUCAACAUCAAUAGCACUCAUUAGAAGAACAUGAUCUAAAUCAGAAUCACUUGUGUCUACAUCCUGUGCCAGAUUCACUUCAUCUUCUUUAGUUUUCUUUGUGGCUUCGUUGUGCCAGCAUUCGCUCGAGUAAUGCCCAUACUUGUUGCAUGUAUAGCACUGGAUGUUCCUCUUAUCGAAAUUCUUUCUGCCUCUCCCUCUCGUUUGCUUUUCGGCCCUUUUGCUGUUACUGCACUCUUCUCCAACAGCCUGAUAAAAAACAUUCGCACUUCUUCCUCCAAAUCUGCCUCCCCGAGAUCGACCUCUGCUUCUUCCAGUGCCUCGUCCUCUAGGUUUCAAGUUGCUUCUUACUUGUAAAGCUUGAUUCGAACCCGUUUCAUUUUUGGCUUUCUUUCUUUCAAGCAGACGUUGUUCAUGGGCUUCUAGCGAGUUCUACAACUCUUCCACUUUCAUGUUUUCCACGUCUUUGCAUUCUUCAAUUGCUACAACGAUAUGGUCGUACUACGGGGUUAGCGUUCUAAGAAUCUUCUCCACAAUUUUCUUGUCCUUCACCUUGUCGCACGGUCUCAUGGCGUUCACCACUACUUGUAUCCUCCUUAUAUACUCAACAAUCAAUUCUUGCUCUCCCAUGCCUAAGAGUUUGUAUUGUCUUUGGAACGACUGUAGUUUAAUCUUCUUGACUUUGCGUGUGUUGUCGUAGCCUUCUUGAAGAAUGUCCCAAAUCUCCUUCGUCGUGCCUGCCUUCGAUACCUUCUGGAAAAUGGUGGAUGACACGCAUUGGUGCAACAACAUUCAGGCCUUGCAAUCUAAUAUCUUGUUUUCCUUAUAUUGUCGCUUUGUCUCUUCAGAAUCUCCCUUCAAUGGCUCUUUAAAACCCUUCUUGACUACCUCGUCCACUUCUUGAAAACCAAGAAUGACGUUUAUUUUAACGCACCAGUCUUCGAAUCCCUUUUCGUCAAACACAAGAAGAUUACUGUGUAUUACACCAGCCAUUUCUUCUUGAUCGGUUUCUGCUGAUCACCAGGUUUUCGAACUCAUGCUCUGAAUAUCACUGUUAGUGUGGCUAGACGUCACUACAAGAAUUUCGAUUUUUACCGAAGGUUUAUUACCGAAGGCCUACUGGCCNUCGGUAAAAAUGAGUUUUUGACGGUCAAAAUGAGUUUUACCGAGGGGCAUUUUGAGAUGGAAUUGCCGAAGGCCAAAAGAGCGUUACCAAGGGGUUUAUGGCCUUCGGUAAGAGUCUCGACCACUUAAACAGAGUGAUUGGGGAUAGUGUAGGAGGUCGUCCCCAAUUUAAUAAGAGAAGAGUACCCUCUACCUGACUUCGCGUCUUGCUCCCCAUUAUUUCCCUCUCCAUUGUCAUCCCCAAUUCGUACCAUUGUGCUUCCCAUUUUCCGCCUCUCGCUUUGGUUUCACGUUUCUCUCCCUCUCCCUCUCCCUUUCUCGUCUGUUAGGUGGCAUUGGGUGGCUAGGGUUCACUUGCCGAACCUCCC